This 446-nucleotide ribosomal RNA is filed under the name uncultured bacterium. RNAcentral describes it as "bacterial SSU rRNA". It matches the Rfam family "Bacterial small subunit ribosomal RNA", at positions 28 to 468 of the family's 1533-position model. The record is from RNAcentral.
GAUGAACGCUAGCUACAGGCUUAACACAUGCAAGUCGAGGGGCAGCAUGGUCUUAGCUUGCUAAGGCCGAUGGCGACCGGCGCACGGGUGAGUAACACGUAUCCAACCUGCCGUCUACUCUUGGACAGCCUUCUGAAAGGAAGAUUAAUACAAGAUGGCAUCAUGAGUCCGCAUGUUCACAUGAUUAAAGGUAUUCCGGUAGACGAUGGGGAUGCGUUCCAUUAGAUAGUAGGCGGGGUAACGGCCCACCUAGUCUUCGAUGGAUAGGGGUUCUGAGAGGAAGGUCCCCCCACAUUGGAACUGAGACACGGUCCAAACUCCUACGGGAGGCAGCAGUGAGGAAUAUUGGUCAAUGGACGAGAGUCUGAACCAGCCAAGUAGCGUGAAGGAUGAAGGUCCUACGGAUUGAAACUUCUUUAUAAGGGAAUAACCCUCCACGUGUGGGA